CUGGGAAGAGGGGACGUUUGCAAAAACACAUUGUGCAGCGACACCCCUGAUGGGGCAGGAGCAGCUCAGCUGGAGGACUCCGAUGGAGAGAGGACGGGGGCUUCGGCGCAGCCACAGCGGAACACAGACGGCGACCAUCCGGAACAGCCUCGGGUCAUCACAGAGGAACGUGAACAAGAACGUAUACUAGAAAUUGCAGAACGGAUGAGAAGACCGGAGGAUGAGGUUGGCACACAGCAGCCGGCGGAGAUGUGGCAGGUCCAGCU
This 266-nucleotide long non-coding RNA is filed under the name Panthera leo (lion). RNAcentral describes it as "lncRNA (ENSPLOG00000014957.1)". Lineage: Eukaryota; Metazoa; Chordata; Mammalia; Carnivora; Felidae. The record is from RNAcentral.